UUGACCUCGGAUCAGGUAGGGAACCCCUAACCUUA
This 35-nucleotide ribosomal RNA is filed under the name Rhizoplaca chrysoleuca. Its description in RNAcentral is "partial 26S ribosomal RNA". The record is from RNAcentral. Lineage: Eukaryota; Fungi; Ascomycota; Lecanoromycetes; Lecanorales; Lecanoraceae.